AAUGGGCGCAAGCCUGAUCCAGCCAUGCCGCGUGAGUGAAGAAGGCCUUCGGGUUGUAAAGCUCUUUCGGUGGGGAAGAAAUUGCACGGGAUAAUACCCUGUGUAGAUGACGGUACCUGGAGAAGAAGCACCGGCUAACUACGUGCCAGCAGCCGCGGUAAUACGUAGGGUGCGAGCGUUAAUCGGAAUUACUGGGCGUAAAGCGUGCGCAGGCGGUUGGAUAAGUCAGAUGUGAAAUCCCCGGGCUCAACCUGGGAACUGCAUUUGAGACUGCCCAGCUGGAGUUUGGCAGAGGGGGGUGGAAUUCCACGUGUAGCAGUGAAAUGCGUAGAGAUGUGGAGGAACACCGAUGGCGAAGGCAGCCCCCUGGGCCAAUACUGACGCUCAUGCACGAAAGCGUGGGGAGCAAA
RNAcentral lists this ribosomal RNA (410 nucleotides) under uncultured bacterium. RNAcentral describes it as "bacterial SSU rRNA". It matches the Rfam family "Bacterial small subunit ribosomal RNA", at positions 370 to 772 of the family's 1533-position model. The record is from RNAcentral.